AAUUCAUGAGUUUAGUAGCAUGCAGGUGUGUAUUAGGUCUCAUCUGGGGAUUAAUCUGCAAUGAAUAAUCUCGUAAUUGCUCUUGGAAACACAGUAUAUCUGUGUGAUGCUUCUAAUGGUGCUACAUCUUAAUUAGUUACACUUGACAAGGAACUUGGUCCGUUGACAAGUGUUAAAUGGGCUCCAGAUGGGUGCCACAUUGCUGUUGGUAUGAACAACUCUAAGGUUCAGCUUUGGGUCUGCCAAUCAACAGGAUCAAUCUGCACCUAAGGACAUUGAGAGGAUGCCACAGCUGCCGAGUAGGUGCAUUAGAUUUUGGAAGACUCACACUGGUGCUUGCUUGAAUACAGUUCACACAGGCUGUCUAUUCACUUAUGUGCAAUAACAAUGAGCGUGAGCUGCUUAAUUCUCAUGGUUUUACCUAGAAUCAACUUACUCUUUGGAAGUAGCCGUGUGUUUAAUUUGUUUCGGUUUAUGGGAUGUGCUCUCUAACAUUUGUUUGUAUAUUUUCCCCCCUUCUUAAAAUUAUACAAGAUGUUGCACUAUUUUACUAAAAGAAUAAUUAAAUUGAAAUAUAAUUAAAUGUUUGAUUCA
This is a long non-coding RNA of Daucus carota subsp. sativus, 594 nucleotides long. RefSeq lists it as uncharacterized. The record is from RefSeq and is a predicted model, not a curated record. The transcript is spliced from 2 exons. Lineage: Eukaryota; Viridiplantae; Streptophyta; Magnoliopsida; Apiales; Apiaceae.